CUGCAGUCAAUUAAAUCAACCUGGUUCCUUUCCUCAUGGGUCCUUAGUGUGCAGCGGCUGCAAACAGCAGCCUCCUUGGUAGUGUAUGCAGCCUGUUGUUUAUACAGGUUGCUAUAAGGGAUCUUGGUAACAGUU
This is a small nucleolar RNA of Jaculus jaculus (lesser Egyptian jerboa), 135 nucleotides long. Its record names the gene SNORA70. It matches the Rfam family "Small nucleolar RNA SNORA70". Rfam says of the family: snoRNA U70 seems to be exclusive to mammals and is a member of the H/ACA class of snoRNA which contain H (ANANNA) and ACA box motifs. H/ACA box snoRNAs are involved in the conversion of uridines to pseudouridines (5-ribosyluracil) a constituent of structural RNAs (transfer, ribosomal, small nuclear, and small nucleolar). The record is from Ensembl. Lineage: Eukaryota; Metazoa; Chordata; Mammalia; Rodentia; Dipodidae.